UUCAGCAGGCAGAAACGCGAGCCCCCGGCAAAUGCUUGGAGGAAGGCGCUGCCUGCCACGUGCCGGUGGUGCCGGGAGCCCAGAGAUCCGGGGAGGAAGUCAUCGGGCACAGCGACUCUGGCAGCUGAAGCACAGAUGGGUCCCCACGUAGCGCUGAAAGUCUGCGCUGUGUUCCUGGCUGGCUGUCUCUGAAAGCAGAUUUUAUCUAAACUCCUUUCACAAGGAAGUUCUUUAAGUUCGUUGGUGAUGAAAUCCCCCAGGAAAGAAAGCCCAGAGGGUCCAGCCUGAUGCAGUUACACCGUCUAACAGAUUGCUAAAGGAAGAUUUUAGAGGGUGAAUCUCUUCAGUGACACAUGGUCAUAUGCACAUAUCGGACCGAACGAUGGCUCUUUCCACCAGAUUCCUCCAGACUGUUAGAAUAUUUUUGUCUGUGGUGCCAUUUAUGUGACAGUUAAUCACACACUGCAUUGUGAUGUUUCUUAUACUGAACCAUUAUGUGUGUGUUCAUGAUCCCCUCUGAACUACUCAAUGCCAGGAACGCAUCCUCAGGGGCCACCACCAUCCUUCCGGGUCCUGACACCCAGGCUCCAUCAGAGUUGCUGUCCUCUCGUGCAGCAUCCAGCCUCUGGAUGCCUCUUUUCUCUUCCCGUCUUCACCUGGCCUUCCUUUCCUAGCCAGCCUGGAUACCACACAGAGAACAUGACUUGGAGAGCAAAUCCGGGAUCUGGCUGGUGAGGAAAGAAACAAAGAUCCAUUGUUUUGAUUUCGCACAGAACUAGGAGACACUCCAGUGGCCCUUUUGCUGUCUGAUAUGUCUAAAACAAGGAAGGAUUUUCGGAUAGUAGGAUACGCGUAAAAAAUUACAACCAGUGUUGAGAACCACUUGUUGAUUUUUUUAAUGACAAAAUUAGGAUGAUAAUUACAUGUUUUACAUCAUUUCAGAACUCUGUUACAUCAAGUCAUUUUGCCUGUCUUGAAAUAUUCUUUUGAAAUGUGCUUUUUUUUAAAGCAAAGACUGCAUAGAAUCAUGUGGCUCGGAUGCACCAUGACUUACCCCAUUGUUGAAUACGUAGGUUGUUUCAGGUUGCUCAUGGCUGUAAAUAAUACUGGGAUAAACCUCUUCAUACGUAA
This is a long non-coding RNA of Carlito syrichta (Philippine tarsier), 1131 nucleotides long. RefSeq lists it as uncharacterized. The transcript has 2 exons. Lineage: Eukaryota; Metazoa; Chordata; Mammalia; Primates; Tarsiidae. The record is from RefSeq and is a predicted model, not a curated record.